Long non-coding RNA from Rhea pennata, 1103 nucleotides. RefSeq lists it as uncharacterized. NCBI's taxonomy places the organism in Eukaryota, Metazoa, Chordata, Aves, Rheiformes, Rheidae. The record is from RefSeq and is a predicted model, not a curated record. The transcript has 3 exons.
CACAGAGCUCAGUGACUUCUGGAAAGUGCUACGUGAAGCAGUCCUCCAGAAGGAGGUCCUCUGCCAGCUGCUGGUGAAUUGAACUGUUCAAUAUGUGGAAAACCUGUUUUGGGCAUAUGUGUGUGAGCUGUGAGUAUCAUCAUACAGAAAACAGAAGGAAACAAAUGGCAGGUCCGGAGGAAGCGGGUGACACGUUCUAAGAGGUGAAGAGACUCCUACGGAGAACAAAGCUGAUUCCGUGGAAGCUCUCACUCCAUCUACCAGUGCAUUCUGUAUCUUUCCAACCCACGGCAUCUGGUUUUACUUGGCUGUCCUUGGCAGGCCUUUUAUAUUGCUCAAGGAGUUGGCCUCUUACUGGAAUAUACACCCUUCUGGGGCCUUGGAUGGUAAAUGUUAAUGCUCAAACUGUGUUGCCAUGCUGUUGGUGGCAUUUUGAAGAACUUCUAGGUCUGUAGAGCUACUUCAAUCACAGUGGCAAAGAAUAUCUGCUCUCAAACACUGAGGCUUCUGCACAGGAGAACAAAAUGAAAGUGACUUGGAAAGAAAAGUAAAACAGAAGAGGUUGCAAGAUGUGGCCUAUGUGCCAUUAAAGUGGUGAACCUGUAGAGGAAACUUUAAAAAUAACAAAGCAGCAGUGGAGGCAGGUGCUGUCCUGAGAAAGCUGCUUCUCCGCUUCACUUGGGAAGUGUCCCACACUGGGUGGUACCACGGGGAGAGGGGCGUAUAUUCCCACCUAAAGAAGAUAUCCAUCUCAAGUGGCAGGAUCUGAAGAGGAAACUACAACUCUAGUAAGUAAAAAAGUGCUGCUCAGUUCUGCACAGCAAAAUGCAAGCCAUUUUCAUAAAAACAGUGAAUGCAUUCUUGAAAAUUCACAAGAGCUGAGUUACUUUAAUGAGAGGCUGAGAAGGAGGAAGGUGGGACACUGGCAGAUUUCUCGAGAUGUGUGGGCACAUUGAUGCCUCCCUCUUUCAUCUGCUGUUGGAAGCUAGCCACUUGAUGAGAGCAGUAAUGAGGGGACUGAUCAUAGAAAUAACAUAAGACUUAGUCUUGUGCUAUCCUAGCAAGAAAUAGUAUUACAGAGUUAUUCUGCUUUAGCAUUGAUU